This 253-nucleotide ribosomal RNA is filed under the name uncultured bacterium. RNAcentral describes it as "partial 16S ribosomal RNA". It matches the Rfam family "Bacterial small subunit ribosomal RNA", at positions 524 to 776 of the family's 1533-position model. The record is from RNAcentral.
UACGUAGGGGGCAAGCGUUGUCCGGAAUCAUUGGGCGUAAAGAGCGUGUAGGCGGCCCGCUAAGUCCGCUGUGAAAUCUCGAGGCUCAACUUCGAGCUGUCGGUGGAAACUGUCUGGCUAGAGUCCGGAAGAGGAGAAUGGAAUUCCUGGUGUAGCGGUGAAAUGCGCAGAUAUCAGGAAGAACACCCGUGGCGAAGGCGGUUCUCUGGGACGGUACUGACGCUGAGACGCGAAAGCGUGGGGAGCGAACAGG